UACGUAGGGUCCGAGCGUUGUCCGGAAUUAUUGGGCGUAAAGGGCUCGUAGGCGGUUUGUCGCGUCGGGAGUGAAAACACGGGGCUUAACCCCGUGCCUGCUUCCGAUACGGGCAGACUAGAGGUAUGCAGGGGAGAACGGAAUUCCUGGUGUAGCGGUGAAAUGCGUAGAUAUCGGGAGGAACACCAGUGGCGAAGGCGACUACCUGGCCUGUUCUUGACGCUGAGGCGCGAAAGCUAGGGGAGCAAACGGG
This 253-nucleotide ribosomal RNA is filed under the name uncultured bacterium. RNAcentral describes it as "partial 16S ribosomal RNA". It matches the Rfam family "Bacterial small subunit ribosomal RNA", at positions 524 to 776 of the family's 1533-position model. The record is from RNAcentral.